GCGCGCGUGACCCAAACGGCAGAGGUGGCUCUCUCAAAAAGAGUCUCGGUGCGGGUUCGACUCCCGCCGCGCGCA
Molecule: transfer RNA, 75 nt
Filed under: Acidobacteriota bacterium
Lineage: Bacteria; Pseudomonadati; Acidobacteriota
Also listed under: 2 other names
Description: Acidobacteria bacterium (rhizosphere metagenome) tRNA-Leu
Rfam family: tRNA
About the family: Transfer RNA (tRNA) molecules are approximately 80 nucleotides in length.
Source: RNAcentral